AACGCUAGCUACAGGCUUAACACAUGCAAGUCGAGGGGCAUCAGGAAGAAAGCUUGCUUUCUUUGCUGGCGACCGGCGCACGGGUGAGUAACACGUAUCCAACCUGCCCUUUACUCGGGGAUAGCCUUUCGAAAGAAAGAUUAAUACCCGAUGGCAUAAUGAUUCCGCAUGGUUUCAUUAUUAAAGGAUUCCGGUAAAGGAUGGGGAUGCGUUCCAUUAGGUUGUUGGUGAGGUAACGGCUCACCAAGCCUUCGAUGGAUAGGGGUUCUGAGAGGAAGGUCCCCCACAUUGGAACUGAGACACGGUCCAAACUCCUACGGGAGGCAGCAGUGAGGAAUAUUGGUCAAUGGGCGCUAGCCUGAACCAGCCAAGUAGCGUGAAGGAUGAAGGCUCUAUGGGUCGUAAACUUCUUUUAUAUAAGAAUAAAGUGCAGUAUGUAUACUGUUUUGUAUGUAUUAUAUGAAUAAGGAUCGGCUAACUCCGUGCCAGCAGCCGCGGUAAUACGGAGGAUCCGAGCGUUAUCCGGAUUUAUUGGGUUUAAAGGGAGCGUAGGUGGACUGGUAAGUCAGUUGUGAAAGUUUGCGGCUCAACCGUAAAAUUGCAGUUGAUACUGUCAGUCUUGAGUACAGUAGAGGUGGGCGGAAUUCGUGGUGUAGCGGUGAAAUGCUUAGAUAUCACGAAGAACUCCGAUUGCGAAGGCAGCUCACUGGACUGCAACUGACACUGAUGCUCGAAAGUGUGGGUAUCAAACAGGAUUAGAUACCCUGGUAGUCCACACAGUAAACGAUGAAUACUCGCUGUUUGCGAUAUACAGUAAGCGGCCAAGCGAAAGCAUUAAGUAUUCCACCUGGGGAGCACGCCGGCAACGGUGAAACUCAAAGGAAUUGACGGGGGCCCGCACAAGCGGAGGAACAUGUGGUUUAAUUCGAUGAUACGCGAGGAACCUUACCCGGGCUUAAAUUGCAGUGGAAUGAUGUGGAAACAUGUCAGUGAGCAAUCACCGCUGUGAAGGUGCUGCAUGGUUGUCGUCAGCUCGUGCCGUGAGGUGUCGGCUUAAGUGCCAUAACGAGCGCAACCCUUAUCUUUAGUUACUAACAGGUUAUGCUGAGGACUCUAGAGAGACUGCCGUCGUAAGAUGUGAGGAAGGUGGGGAUGACGUCAAAUCAGCACGGCCCUUACGUCCGGGGCUACACACGUGUUACAAUGGGGGGUACAGAAGGCAGCUAGCGGGUGACCGUAUGCUAAUCCCAAAAGCCUCUCUCAGUUCGGAUCGAAGUCUGCAACCCGACUUCGUGAAGCUGGAUUCGCUAGUAAUCGCGCAUCAGCCACGGCGCGGUGAAUACGUUCCCGGGCCUUGUACACACCGCCCGUCAAGCCAUGGGAGCCGGGGGUACCUGAAGUACGUAACCGCAAGGAUCGUCCUAGGGUAAAACUGG
This 1436-nucleotide ribosomal RNA is filed under the name uncultured organism. RNAcentral describes it as "16S ribosomal RNA". It matches the Rfam family "Bacterial small subunit ribosomal RNA". The record is from RNAcentral.